Molecule: long non-coding RNA, 470 nt
Organism: Lutra lutra (Eurasian river otter)
Lineage: Eukaryota; Metazoa; Chordata; Mammalia; Carnivora; Mustelidae
Exons: 4
Source: RefSeq, a predicted model, not a curated record
CGCCAUCUUAGCGCGGCUGAAGACUGCCGCGCUGGGUUUUGGGAAACUCCUCGGAAGGGGCGGGGACUUGGAACCCCGCGUCCGCCUGCCUGGGCGGAGCCAGUGCGGCCUGGAGGGCUUCUGGGGCAACUUUUGGGAUGUGAUAUUCUCUCUUAAUGCUGGGCAGUGUCAGUGAGUCAUCGCUCCCAGUCAGCCACAUGAUGGUGAAGGCAACUGACAGACUUACAGUUGUCAUACUGGGAUAUUUGAAGCUGCAUGCCCCUUGCAGUUUUGACAGUAUGGUUCUGCCACCAGCAACCACAUCUUCAGUGAAGAGAACUCCUCACAGAGGAGGGGCAAGUGGCUAGCCCUGCUUCACAAGGCAACUCUCAUAUAUUGCAAUGAAAAUGGGUUGCAUGCUUUAGAAAAUUCCACAGAACAUUCAAGGGAAAGACACUCACCUAAGCAAUCAAAGUAAAUGCUGAAUUGCA